Molecule: non-coding RNA, 29 nt
Filed under: Homo sapiens (human)
Lineage: Eukaryota; Metazoa; Chordata; Mammalia; Primates; Hominidae
Source: RNAcentral
UCAGGAAAUCAAAACUCCUUUGAGUGGCC